RNAcentral lists this ribosomal RNA (465 nucleotides) under Vreelandella stevensii. Its description in RNAcentral is "partial 16S ribosomal RNA". It matches the Rfam family "Bacterial small subunit ribosomal RNA", at positions 338 to 795 of the family's 1533-position model. The record is from RNAcentral. Lineage: Bacteria; Pseudomonadati; Pseudomonadota; Gammaproteobacteria; Oceanospirillales; Halomonadaceae.
CCUACGGGGGGCUGCAGUGGGGAAUAUUGGACAAUGGGGGCAACCCUGAUCCAGCCAUGCCGCGUGUGUGAAGAAGGCCCUCGGGUUGUAAAGCACUUUCAGUGAGGAAGAACGCCUGGUGGUUAAUACCCAUCAGGAAAGACAUCACUCACAGAAGAAGCACCGGCUAACUCCGUGCCAGCAGCCGCGGUAAUACGGAGGGUGCGAGCGUUAAUCGGAAUUACUGGGCGUAAAGCGCGCGUAGGUGGCUUGAUAAGCCGGUUGUGAAAGCCCCGGGCUCAACCUGGGAACGGCAUCCGGAACUGUCAAGCUAGAGUGCAGGAGAGGAAGGUAGAAUUCCCGGUGUAGCGGUGAAAUGCGUAGAGAUCGGGAGGAAUACCAGUGGCGAAGGCGGCCUUCUGGACUGACACUGACACUGAGGUGCGAAAGCGUGGGUAGCAAACGGGAUUAGAUACCCUAGUAGUC